GCUGUUCAAAGAUGGAUGUGUAUAGUAAAAGUGCCACCACCACGUCGAAAUUCUGAUUGGAAGAUAUUGGAAGAAAAUUUGCGUUUCCAUCAUUGAAAAGUACGGCGUUCUAUGCUUCCAGCAUACUUCAAGUCUGUUGAAAUCGAUGAGUCAACUCAACUUACUUUCCCUGGGAUUAUUCGUCAUAAAAAUGAUAACAAGCCUACAAUUUACACUUGGCAAUACCAUCUGAUCAUGUAGCCUGAAAAUGCUGUUUCCCAAGAUGUUGUCUCUUGCUGCACAUACCGGCUGUGCGUUUCCUCACAUGUAGAAAUACUUCACAACAGUAAAACAUGGUGAAGUCUGAGAUUCUUCAUUGCAGUCCAAUGUGCUGUGCCAGUGUGAUUUGUUGCAGCCAGCUGGCGAAAGGUGUUCCUCUUGCAGGCUGACUUGUUACCAGUACCAUUUGUAUGUUUGUCAUGCAGAAACACACACUUAAAGUGCUGAUGUUGUCCUGGAGUGUGGGAGAGUUCCAUGCUUCAAGUCUUCUGGGAUCAGCCAUAUCUGAGUUGAUGCUGGAUCAUGCUGCAUUGAGGUUGCCGAAAUGUGGACAUCUAGUAGAACUGCAAGAAGACUUCUUGAAAUGGUUUAUGUUUACGUAGCAGUGAUGUUGCUGUCCAAUAUGGCAUGUUGUUGCAGCCUAUAGACUGGUGACAGAUUUUUUGCAUCGAGCUAUGCUGUUGCUGUUCCUUGGUGCCGGACUGCUGGUGUGGUGCACAAAAGUUACAUCCAGUUUUAAUUGUUGUUUGUGUCUAAAUGCAGUUAACCGUUUAUAUGUUGAAAAGGAACAGAAAAGUUCCUUGGAGUUGAAUCGCUGUUGUUUCUAUGAAGUUAACCGUUUAUAUGUUGAGAAUGAAAAAAAAUUAGUAAUACGGGGAAUAUUUACGUUGAAAAAAUAAUAAACAUGCCUUCGCGGUUGGGAAAUCAGCGAGGAGGAGAUUGGGGGUGGGGGUGGGUAAUUGAUUUUCAUUAAUUAGAAAAAGUCGUUUUUUUUAAUAAGGUAGAAAAUCCUUUGUCUAUAACAUCCAUAUACCUACCUAUAUAACCACAUCUAUUCCUCAAACUCCAUAACCUCCACCAACAUCCAUUCCUUAAACUCCCAUUUCCCCUCAAAUGUCAAAUAUCUGUAAUAUGUACAUGUUAUUGUUCAAUAAAUAAACCAACUUUAUGCUAUGUAAAA
This is a long non-coding RNA of Daphnia pulicaria, 1219 nucleotides long. RefSeq lists it as uncharacterized. Lineage: Eukaryota; Metazoa; Arthropoda; Branchiopoda; Diplostraca; Daphniidae. The record is from RefSeq and is a predicted model, not a curated record. The transcript is spliced from 6 exons.